GACGAACGCUGGCGGCGUGCUUAACACAUGCGAGUCGAACGGAAAGGCCCUGCUUUUGUGGGGUGCUCGAGUGGCGAACGGGUGAGUAACACGUGAGUAACCUGCCCUUGACUUUGGGAUAACUUCAGGAAACUGGGGCUAAUACCGGAUAGGAGCUCCUGCUGCAUGGUGGGGGUUGGAAAGUUUCGGCGGUUGGGGAUGGACUCGCGGCUUAUCAGCUUGUUGGUGGGGUAGUGGCUUACCAAGGCUUUGACGGGUAGCCGGCCUGGGAAGGUGACCGGCCUCAUAGUGACAGAGAUACGGCCCAGACUCCUACGGGAGGCAACAGUGGGGAAUAUUGCACAAUGGGCGGAAGCCUGAUGCAGCAACGCCGCGUGCUGGAUGACAGCCUUCGGGUUGUAAACCGCUUUCGCCUGUGACGAAGCGUGAGUGACGGUAAUGGGUAGAGAAGCACCGGCUAACUACGUG
RNAcentral lists this ribosomal RNA (468 nucleotides) under uncultured bacterium. RNAcentral's name for it is "partial 16S ribosomal RNA". It matches the Rfam family "Bacterial small subunit ribosomal RNA", at positions 28 to 507 of the family's 1533-position model. The record is from RNAcentral.